This 24-nucleotide non-coding RNA is filed under the name Arabidopsis thaliana (thale cress). The record is from RNAcentral. Lineage: Eukaryota; Viridiplantae; Streptophyta; Magnoliopsida; Brassicales; Brassicaceae.
AAGAAGACCAUCAAUGAAAUUCAC